Molecule: ribosomal RNA, 723 nt
Filed under: Triticum aestivum (bread wheat)
Lineage: Eukaryota; Viridiplantae; Streptophyta; Magnoliopsida; Poales; Poaceae
Description: partial small subunit ribosomal RNA
Source: RNAcentral
AUGGACCAUUACAUCCCUUAUUCCCGUGGCUAUGCAUCGGAUUCGGAUGAUGAAGGUCCCGAUGAACAAGUUGAUGAGGAGGGAUUCACGGUGAAGGAGGCCGAAGCUUUCGAGAAGGUAUUCGGGUGGGAUCAUCGGACUACAUUGUUCAAGGAUGUUAGUCUCGCGGAUGAAACCGUGGUAGAUGGUGGCCAAGGUAUAUCUCUUGGGGUUAGGCCAAUAUCUCACCGUGAUUUGGAAGACGGCAAGAACGGGAUUGCUCGCGGGUGUAAGUUCGAAACCUUCUUGGAAUUGAAGAUGUGGCUCGACAACUACUCGGUUACGCAUUAUCGUCCACACAAGGUGGUGAACUCAGACGUCAAUGUGCACUACACGGUUGCAUGUGAGGAUGAAAAAAUUUCAUGGAUUGUGCGUGCAAGACCAUGGAAAGGAGGUCCCACUUGGCACGUAGUGAGUUGUGUACCAACUCACAUGUGCCGAGGCAAAAGGGUGGAUGGCAAGGUUGUGUCCCAAGACCACAGACAACUCAUGUCCGAGUUCAUCGCUUACAGGCUCUCCAACUCAAUAUCCACACUUCCAACAAUGAGCAUCCAACAUAUCAUGGACCUUGUGAAAGCCAUCUUUCAUUACAAGGUGAAAUACGGCAAGGCAUGGAAGGCGAAGCAAGCCGUGUUUAAGAUGUUGUAUGGUAAUUGGGGGGGAAGCAUACAACCGAAUCCCUAG